Molecule: transfer RNA, 69 nt
Filed under: Ictidomys tridecemlineatus (thirteen-lined ground squirrel)
Lineage: Eukaryota; Metazoa; Chordata; Mammalia; Rodentia; Sciuridae
Description: Spermophilus tridecemlineatus (thirteen-lined ground squirrel) tRNA
Rfam family: tRNA
About the family: Transfer RNA (tRNA) molecules are approximately 80 nucleotides in length. Their secondary structure includes four short double-helical elements and three loops (D, anti-codon, and T loops). Further hydrogen bonds mediate the characteristic L-shaped molecular structure. tRNAs have two regions of fundamental functional importance: the anti-codon, which is responsible for specific mRNA codon recognition, and the 3' end, to which the tRNAs corresponding amino acid is attached (by aminoacyl-tRNA synthetases). tRNAs cope with the degeneracy of the genetic code in two manners: having more than one tRNA (with a specific anti-codon) for a particular amino acid; and 'wobble' base-pairing, i.e. permitting non-standard base-pairing at the 3rd anti-codon position.
Source: Rfam by way of RNAcentral
GGGAUUGUAGCUCAGUGGUAGAGCACUCAUCUAGCAUGUGUGAAGCCCUGGGUUCAAUCCUCAGCACCA